AUGAACGCUAGCGACAGGCUUAACACAUGCAAGUCGAGGGGUAACAGGGUAGCAAUACCGCUGACGACCGGCGCACGGGUGAGUAACGCGUAUGCAACCUGCCUAUAACUGGGGAAUAGCUCCCUAGAAAGGGGAAUUAACACCGCAUAACACUAUUGAUUCGCAUGGAUUGGUAGUUAAAUGUAGCGAUACAGGUUAUAGAUGGGCAUGCGUGACAUUAGCUAGUUGGUGAGGUAACGGCUCACCAAGGCUACGAUGUCUAGGGGUUCUGAGAGGAAGGUCCCCCACACUGGUACUGAGACACGGACCAGACUCCUACGGGAGGCAGCAGUGAGGAAUAUUGGUCAAUGGGCGCAAGCCUGAACCAGCCAUGUCGCGUGCAGGAAGACUCGCCCUAUGGGUUGUAAACUGCUUUUAUAGUAGAAGAAACACAUCUACGCGUAGAUGUCUGCCAGUAUACUAUGAAUAAGCAUCGGCUAACUCCGUGCCAGCCGCUGC
This 498-nucleotide ribosomal RNA is filed under the name uncultured bacterium. Its description in RNAcentral is "bacterial SSU rRNA". It matches the Rfam family "Bacterial small subunit ribosomal RNA", at positions 29 to 518 of the family's 1533-position model. The record is from RNAcentral.